GGCAAGACGGAAAGACCCCGUGAACCUUUACUAUAGCUUGACACUGAACAUUGAGCCUUGAUGUGUAGGAUAGGUGGGAGGCUUUGAAGUGUGGACGCCAGUCUGCAUGGAGCCGACCUUGAAAUACCACCCUUUAAUGUUUGAUGUUCUAACGUGGACCCGUGAUCCGGGUUGCGGACAGUGUCUGGUGGGUAGUUUGACUGGGGCGGUCUCCUCCUAAAGAGUAACGGAGGAGCACGAAGGUUGGCUAAUCCUGGUCGGACAUCAGGAGGUUAGUGCAAUGGCAUAAGCCAGCUUGACUGCGAGCGUGACGGCGCGAGCAGGUGCGAAAGCAGGUCAUAGUGAUCCGGUGGUUCUGAAUGGAAGGGCCAUCGCUCAACGGAUAAAAGGUACUCCGGGGAUAACAGGCUGAUACCGCCCAAGAGUUCAUAUCGACGGCGGUGUUUGGCACCUCGAUGUCGGCUCAUCACAUCCUGGGGCUGAAGUAGGUCCCAAGGGUAUGGCUGUUCGCCAUUUAAAGUGGUACGCGAGCUGGGUUUAGAACGUCGUGAGACAGUUCGGUCCCUAUCUGCCGUGGGCGCUGGAGAACUGAGGGGGGCUGCUCCUAGUACGAGAGGACCGGAGUGGACGCAUCACUGGUGUUCGGGUUGUCAUGCCAAUGGCACUGCCCGGUAGCUAAAUGCGGAAGAGAUAAGUGCUGAAAGCAUCUAAGCACGAAACUUGCCCCGAGAUGAGUUCUCCCUGACCCUUUAAGGGUCCUGAAGGAACGUUGAAGACGACGACGUUGAUAGGCCGGGUGUGUAAGCGCAGCGAUGCGUUGAGCUAACCGGUACUAAUGAACCGUGAGGCUUAACCUUACAACGCCGAAGGUGUUU
RNAcentral lists this ribosomal RNA (875 nucleotides) under Escherichia coli. RNAcentral describes it as "partial 23S ribosomal RNA". It matches the Rfam family "Bacterial large subunit ribosomal RNA", at positions 2074 to 2925 of the family's 2925-position model. The record is from RNAcentral. Lineage: Bacteria; Pseudomonadati; Pseudomonadota; Gammaproteobacteria; Enterobacterales; Enterobacteriaceae.